CCAAUAGCGUAUAUUAAAGUUGUUGCAGUUAAAAAGCUCGUAGUUGAAUUUCGGGAUCAGUACGCUGGUCAUGCCUUUGGUAUGCACUGGUGUCACUGGUUUCUCCCUUCUGAAGAUCCGUGAUGUCAUUAAUUUGGUGUCGCGGGGAAUCAGGACUGUUACUUUGAAAAAAUUAGAGUGUUUAAAGCAGGCUCACGCUUGAAUACAUUAGCAUGGAAUAAUGAAAUAGGACGUUUGACCCUAUUUUGUUGGUUUCUAGGAUCAACGUAAUGAUUAAUAGGGAUAGUUGGGGGCAUUAGUAUUCAAUUGUCAGAGGCGAAAUUCUUGGAUUUAUUGAAGACUAACUACUGCGAAAGCAUUUGCCAAGGAUGUUUUCAUUAAUCAAGAACGAAAGUUAGGGGAUCGAAGACGAUCAGAUACCGUCGUAGUCUUAACCAUAAACUAUGCCGACUAGGGAUCGGAUGAUGUUAAUUUUAUAAUGACUCAUUCGGCGCCUUACGGGAAACCAAAGUGUUUGGGUC
Molecule: ribosomal RNA, 521 nt
Filed under: uncultured Glomus
Lineage: Eukaryota; Fungi; Glomeromycota; Glomeromycetes; Glomerales; Glomeraceae
Description: SSU rRNA
Rfam family: Eukaryotic small subunit ribosomal RNA
Source: RNAcentral